GGCGCCCGGACUCUCUUGGAGAGGGCUCACGCGUGCUACAAUGGCCCAUACAAAGAGCAGCGACCUCGCGAGAUCAAGCCGACCUCAUAAAGUGCGUCGUAGUCCGGAUUGGAGUCUGCAACUCGACUCCAUGAAGUCGGAAUCGCUAGUAAUCGUGGAUCAGAAUGCCACGGUGAAUACGUUCCCGGGCCUUGUACACACCGCCCGUCACACCAUGAGAGUGGGUUGCAAAAGAAGUAGGUAGCUUAACCUUCGAGAGGGCGCUUACCACUUUGGGAUUCAUGACUGGGGGGGAGGCCUAACAAGGAACCGUAGGCGAACGUGGCGGUUGGUUACCUCC
This 340-nucleotide ribosomal RNA is filed under the name Escherichia coli. RNAcentral's name for it is "bacterial SSU rRNA". It matches the Rfam family "Bacterial small subunit ribosomal RNA", at positions 1189 to 1530 of the family's 1533-position model. Lineage: Bacteria; Pseudomonadati; Pseudomonadota; Gammaproteobacteria; Enterobacterales; Enterobacteriaceae. The record is from RNAcentral.